Molecule: ribosomal RNA, 136 nt
Filed under: Mediterraneibacter glycyrrhizinilyticus
Lineage: Bacteria; Bacillati; Bacillota; Clostridia; Lachnospirales; Lachnospiraceae
Description: partial 23S ribosomal RNA
Rfam family: Bacterial large subunit ribosomal RNA
Source: RNAcentral
AGCCCCCCUCAAGAUGAGAUAUCCCAUAACGUCAAGUUAGUAAGACCCCUUGAAGACGACGAGGUAGAUAGGGCAGAGGUGGAAGCAUGGUAACAUGUGGAGCUGACUGUUACUAAUAGGUCGAGGGCAUGACCAG